Long non-coding RNA from Lingula anatina, 401 nucleotides. Lineage: Eukaryota; Metazoa; Brachiopoda; Lingulata; Lingulida; Lingulidae. The record is from RefSeq and is a predicted model, not a curated record.
CCAGGAUGCCCUUAAUACAUAUGACAGGAGAAAAAAAAGCAUAUAAAUAGUAAAGAAAAUGAUGGUGUGGGUCAUUUUCUGCUACUAGAAACCUCUCAUUUCCUGACAUAGGAGCUGACAACCUACGUACAUUAAAGGAAGUUCAAAGGACUUUCGGCUAAUUGCGGACUGGUCAUCGGUCACCGUGUAUUGUCCACUGGCCGGAAGACUGGACCAAGGCUGGCCUUACCUACAGACCUGAGAAAUCCCGACGACCAUUCCCCCCUCACCGCUGAUAGUGGUACAAUUUCCAGGGAUAAUACCGACCGCCGUAGGGAUCCAAUAAAUGGAAUGAAUUAAACGCAGCCAAAGCGGCACAACAUCAAAUUUACUCGACGGUUGAGCACGCAUCUAGAACAGGA